This 363-nucleotide long non-coding RNA is filed under the name Setaria viridis. RNAcentral describes it as "long non-coding RNA (SVIR_LNC010298)". Lineage: Eukaryota; Viridiplantae; Streptophyta; Magnoliopsida; Poales; Poaceae. The record is from RNAcentral.
GGGGAGAAAAUCAAUCUGAUCACAUCAUCAGAAAAAAAAGAGGCGGAACUGAACUUCGCGUGGUCCUUAUUGCGAUCGAUCAUCCAUCAGACCAUCACAUGACCUUUUUCUUAUUUAUUAACAACAAAAAGAAAAGAGGUUUGCUCGUCGCAUGAUCUAAUUAUCCAAUCAGUGGAACUAAUUAAAAUAGAUAAUCACAUCCCCGGGCAGGAUCAGAUACACCGGAAACAAAAAGGCAGGAGGGCCGCCUUUAGCAGCUCCGCUCGCUUUAACAGGAUAUCCCUUCUGAGUUUCUGAUCGAUCGAGCCAAAUCCGAACAGCGGAGGCCACCACGCCACUGCGCCGGCCGGCCGGCCUCUGUUG